GCUUCACAUCAUCUAUCACAAUAUGGAUAUGAUCUCUUGAAACCCUCACCUACAAAUACAUUACAAACAGAAAACAAAAUAUCUACAAUCAGAAUAUAAAUUAUCUAUAAAAUAUCUACAAACUGGAUACAUUGAAUUUUAAUAUUUUAUUUUUCUGGACCAAAUAAACAGAUCUUACCCUAAGCUUAUACAACAAUAUUCUGUUGUUCUCCAAUUCUUUGUUGUAUUUUGACUCAAAGUAUAUGAAGGUACCCUUUGCUUUCAAUAACUUUUCAUUAGUCCACCAUUCAAGAAGAGUCCUCAUAUACUCUAAUAAUUCCACUAUUGGUAGCUCUAUUGCCUCUUUUAUUACAAUAUUCAAUGACUCUGCAAUAUUUGAUGUCAUAGUCUAAGUUCUGUUCACUGUUGCAUAUACUCAUAACUAUCUGUGAUAGCCAAUAUCAUAUAAGUAGGAUUUAACACACUGAUCUAUCUCUUCAAUCUUUGCAAUCCUUUCAUUAAAUUCAUCAAAAGUGUAUAAUUGUGCCAUUGCAAAGUACAAUUAGCUUAACUUUAGAUGACCCUCCUUGAAUUUUGCCCUUAUAUGUGUCCAAAUAUGCUACAUGAAAGAAUAAUGUGGCAUGCCGGGAUAAACAAUAUAUGUUGCCUUCAAGUACUCUCAUUGCGAUCUAAAACAACACACAUAUUUGGUUUUUGACCAUGUGCACGUUUGAAUUGCUCAAAAAAUCACUUUCACGAUGUGUCGUUUUCUGAAUCAACAAUAGCAUAUGCCAAUUGUAAUAUUGUACCGACAUUAUGUGUCAAAAAUAAUUAACAUGCAGUCUUGAAAAUACAAAGAGAGACAUAUACAUACAAACUACAAUAUCUACAAAAUAACUACAACUUAUCUAUAUAAUAUAAACAAUCUACAAAAAUCUAUAAUAUAUAUAUAUAUAUAUAUAUAUAUAUAUAUAUAUAUACACAAAAUAUCUAUAUUUUUACCUACUGCAUCCAGUGAGGUUGUUAGCAUUAUUUCCCUAUAUGAUGACUUUAAGAAGGUCCCAUCAACUACUACUAUUGGCCUACAAUAUUUCCAACCACUGAUUGACAUACAAAUCACAACAAAUGCAUAUAAGAAGCAUUCAUUUGUCUUCUUCAAUUUAACUACAAAUUUCGGAUAAGCCUUAUCAAAAAUAUAAAAAUAACUUGGUAAUUUGUUGUAGGAGUCGGUAGGAUGACCUCUCAAAAACUGUAAAGCUUCUUCCUUUGCUCUCCAAGCUUGCAUAUAGGUUAGAUUCACGUUGUGUUCAGACAACAUGUCAUUUUGUAUGUCUUUUUGGUGUGUAAAUUGUCUUAGAAUCAGAAUAUUUUGUAAUAACCAUGCUACCAACUACCAUGGCAGUAGGUUGCAUUGUAUGAAUGUGUUGUCCGUCAAAGAGCAUGUGUGCUGGCUGUUAAAAUUUCUGACCUUGAACAUUGCAGAAUCAUUUAAGCUAGUUGCCUUGAAGUUCCAUGUACAAUUUUCACCAACACAUAACCGCCAGUAUAUACAAAAUAAAUACAAUUUAAACACUAGUUUAAAAUGUAGAUUUAAAAAAUUAUUUUAGCUUAAACGAUCAUAUUAUACAAUUUGUAUACAAAAUAACUGCAAUUCAACAACAAUACUGAUAAACUUUAUCACAAGAAAAAUCGAAGAAGUAAAAAAUUACAAAAUUAAACAAAUAAUGAUCUUUGACCAUUCACAUGUUCAUACCUUCUAACACUAGAUCUUUUACCCCUAAAUUGGAACUUGUGCAUGGCAGAAUAGUACUUUAUUAUAGUUGCAAUUAUUUGCUUGUCUUGGUAUACUUAUCCUACUUCAAUAAAACUUGGUGUACUAUAUGUUAUUAUUAUACUUUUAUAUUCCUCUAUGACGGGAGAUAUUGGCAUAUCAAGUAACUGUAGUGUUCCAGACGAACCUGCUUGAAAAUAAAGAUAAAUAAUGUUAUGAAUAAUUUGUAGAUACUUAUAGAAAUAUUAAAAUUCUGUAUUCAUAUUAAUUUUUCAAAUGAUAUGUAAUUUUAUUGUAGAAUAAAUGUAGAAAUUUUAUAGAUACUAUGAAAAUCCAUAUAUAUAUAUAUAUAUAUAUAUAUAUAUAUAUAUAACAUGUUUAUUUAUAGAUAAAAUGUACGACAUUGAUAUACAACCAGAAUUUGAUUAAAAAAAAUAUAAAAACACAAUCCUGCAACUGUGUUCUCAUUGGUGAUACUCAAUUCCAUAUAGAAAUCGCGAACAGUUAUACAUAGGGGAUAUGAUCCUAAGUUCAUUUUCCUUUUUCGUCUCCAUGUAUACACGAACACCCAUAUCUUCCCUAAUUUCCAUUGGAGGACAAUGCUCGUUGACAAUGUAUUUGAUUUUUAUAAUUUUUUCAGAUGUAUCGAUCAUUAAUUGUUGUGCUAUUGUAGAAAUUAAUAGACUAUAACUCUCAUCCUCAUCAACUACAAUGCCAUCGACCUGAAAUUCUCUAAAUCCUUCAUAGUUAUCCCAAUUCUCAUUCAGUUACGGCAUAAUUGAGAUUUUGGACAUAAUUGCGUUUGUUGCAGAAGAAUUGUAGAAUAUUUAGUCGUUUUUGAUUUGUGAAAUCAGAAAAAAUGUUGAAACAUAGUGUAUUGCAAAAACAGAGUCGUUAAGUUUUGAUUAGAAUAACUUUCAAGAUCAGGAUGAGAAUUACGCGUGUAUGUCAUGUCACCGGAGUUGGCAUAAAAAGAAUUAUAAAAGAAAAAAAAUGACCUAGUCAAAAUUGACUAGAACUAACAGAAAAUAGGAGAUUACAUUAGACAGGUGAUGAAAAGGGUUUGAACAAGACAAGCAAAAUAAACACGUGUUACAACCAUGGAACAAUCCUAAAUAAUAUUAGAAGAGUUACUACAACUAAACGAACUAGACAAAAUGAGAAGAAGAAAAGUUUGAGCCACAAGACAAUAUCUGAUUACAACCCUGAAAUAAUCCGGACAAACAGAAAUGACAACAAAAUAAACUACCAAAACUAUUCCCUGGCUAGCUAAGAGAGGAGUGUCUUUCCAAUUACCAAGCUCGACAUCUUAGCAACUAGAUUGCACAUCAAAAUUACUGGGACCAUCACCAAUUUUAAUAUCAUUAACUUUCGUCAGCAAAUUCCCAAAAAGAUUCUCAUACUCCCUAUCGCCACUCAUUUUCCCCACAAAUUGCACAUCAUCAUGUGCAGGUAAAGGAUUCAAUGCAAUAUUCUGGAUGUCACUGUCCUGGACCACAAUUAUCCCUUCUUGAAUUUUUCUAUCUCUCUUUUCAAAGCACGACAAUAUUCAAUUUUAUGCCCUUGGAAAUUAGAGUGGUACAUGCACCACAAAGUAGGAUCAAAGUCUUUUUCAUAUGGGUAUGGAGUAUAGUCGAGGAGCGGCUCAAUCAUGCCAGAUUGUUUCAACUUUUCAAACAAACUUGUGUAGGAUUCUCCGAUUGGAGUGAAAUAAUUUCUUUGCUUUUAUUCCCCUCUAUGCUCCUGUUUCCUAGGGUUUUUGGGUGGCCGAAGAUGUUGUGAAGGCGAAAGAGUAUUAUGCGGUGUUGGUGCUUAUCAUAAGGAGUGACCCAUUGGUUGAACAAAUGAUUGAACAUUGUUUGGAGGAUAAUGCUGAGAUGGAUCAUGUGGAGCUCGGGGAUAGGUUUGGAGUUGGGGUCGGGAUCGAGGCUGAAAGCAUUUUUGAGUUUGUUCCCCUCUGUGCCCUUGUUUCCUAGGGUUUUUGGGUGCUCAAAAAUGUUGUGAAGGCGAAAGAGUAUUAUGCGGUGCUGGUGCUCUCCAUAAGGAGCGACCCACUGGUUAAACAAACGACUGGGAGGUGUUAGGAGAAUAGUACUGAGGUGGAUUAUGUGGAGCCUGAGGAAGGGUGGGUUGGGUUCGAGGUCGAGUAGGUUGGUAAGGAGGACCCAUUGGGCCAUGUCGCGAUCCUGAGACAACCACGGCGACAUCAUCAUGUUUCUUCUAACCCGGCAAGCUUCCUGUAUCAUUCUGAAUUGCAUGCGUUGUAGCUUUUAAGCAAAAUAGCUCAUGAUCUUGCUUGAGUUGAAUCCCUAUUACACCAUUUAUCCCAUGUUUACUACAUUGUGGAAAGGCUUACGAAUGGCUGAGAUCAAAUGUCUGAAAUAAGUAGGCUCCAGGGCUUGAAGUAAGUAUUCAACCAUCUCAUCUUCUUCCAUCGAAGGAUUGAUCUGUGCAGCUUGCUCCCUCCAUCGAAACUCAUAUCCUCUAAAACAUUCAUUGGGCUUCUUUUCUACCUUGGUCAGGGACAGGCGAUCCGGGACAAUGUCUAUGUUGUAUUGAAAAUGUCGGGCAAAGGCCUGAGCCAUAUCGUCCCAUGUGUACCACCUGAUGGUGUCCUGGUGGAUAUACCAUUCUAAAGUUGCGCCACUGCGAUUCUGGCUGAAGUACGCCAUCAAUAAUCCGUCUUUUUCCCCGGUGCUUCUCAUUUUACUGCAAUAACCUCUUAGAUGGGCUACAGGAUCCCCAUGUCCGUCAUACAAGUAAAACUUGGGCAUCUUGGAUAGCAUGCAGUUGAACAUCAGGGAACAAACAUAUAUCCUUAUAAGCCACACUCACCUAGCUUCUUAACCCUUGCAUAUCUCUCAAUGAUUGCUUCAGACUCUUUACCUUCCUAAAUAUCUCCUCUUGCUCCGCGUUCUUAGGUGAUUUCUCAUUUUCAACAUGAGGCACAAGGUGGGGAGUGUAGGAGUAAGGAUCUGGGAUAUUGAAGGUGGGUUCCGGGGCAUAGUAUUGGGUAUCUGGAGCUGGGAAUGCAUUUAUUGUAGUUGGUGGAGCAUGAAAAGUUUUAGAGGAGGUGCCAGGGUAAUUGUGGUAAGGGGUAAAGUCAGGUGCGUGUUGUGGGGAAAGGUCAACGGUAUGGGCAUCUAGGAUUGGGACAGUGGUGGAAUAAAGACAUGGUUUUCUGUAUAGUUGGUAGGGACUGAAGGUGGAGGAUGCAUCCUGAUCCAAGAUUGAUACAUUUCUGUCAUCUAUUGUUUCAACCUUCAAACCUCCUCUUUCAGUUUCGAUUCUGAUUCUACAAUCUCCCUAGGUGGGUGAAAAAUCCCAAUGUAUGUUUCUUUGCUAGCCUUGACGAACUUGUGCUUUCUGGUGUUGUAUGGACGAAUCACCAAAGUGCCACAAACUAACCACCCUUUGUUAUAAUAGCAAUGAAAGUAACAAAGAGGAGCAAAACAAAUCCAACAUGUUAGCGUUAGAGCAUUUAUCAAAUAGAAAUAUCACAUUGUGUGCGAUGCCCCUAGUCACAGUUAACGGUUCUAGAAUGGCUUCGAGGGUACGAAGGUCGCAUGGCAUCAUCCCAAUUUCACUCUUCUUGCCCCAUUUCCUUCUUCAUUUUCCUUUCUAACACCACUUGGUUUUUUUCGUUUCUUUCCCGCUCUUUUCUUUCCUCUUAUUUUUCACAUCCAUAAUUUCAUCUCCUUUUUUUUUGUUUUUUUUCUUUUAUUAAAAGAUGCUUCGAUCGAACCCUAUGUAGGUUGCCUACGUAUCAUGUCCCUCAUGAAUCGAAUCAAGCGUAGUUCUGGAAAAAUAAUGGACAAAAUAAACUAAGAAACAAAAUCUUUUGGGAUUUUUCAUUUAAUAAUGUAUUGUUUUUUGGAUUUUCAAAUACAAAAUAAGAAGUACGAUAAUGAGAGACCCGGCAAACUAAAUAUACUGUGACAACUCUAACACCAACUAAAUGAUUGAAUACUACUAUACAAGACAAGUAAUAGAAAACAUGAAAACAUACUCAAACUAUAAAAUGGCUCCUUAAGCAGCUCCUGAAUGUAGUGGUCCUGGAGUAUCCGUUACGCUCGAGCUAUGGUAAAUAAAUUCAUACCUGGAUGAGAAAAAUAAGACCAAAUAUAUUAGUGAAUCAUAAUACUAUGCGACACCACAACACCUCUUGUUGGACACAUGCGAGACACGAUUGGGCCAUUUUUGAAAAUUAACCUACGUAGCCAAGAGUGGUUGCAAGUGCAAAAUCAACAAGGGUGACUACUUAGAUAUGAAAAUACCUUACUAACGCUUAUAUGGAUUCAACUCCCAAUAAUCAUGGCCCAACAAGUUAAUUUACAUAAAUGAUCCAUUUCACAAAAACGCUCGAUAUGGCCAGAAGUGGAUAACGAUGCAAAUUCAAAAAGGACGGACCUUAAAGUAAUAUGAUACCUAGUUGUGAACUUAAUAUCCUAAGAUAUAGGUAAUUGAACUACUUUUACGAAAAUAAUCCCAUUUUGUAAGAAUGGCCAAUGUGGCCAAAAGUGGCUAUACAUGUAAGAUUUGGCUAAGAUCCCGCAAAGUCAAGGAUCUAAGACUCACUAGGAAGACCGGACCCUAUAUGAGUUACCUAUGUAUCUCGCCCCGAGAAACGAGAAUCAGGUUCGCAUAGUUCGAGAAGAUUGGACAUCGAAGAAAGACUUUUAAAAAAAUGCAACUAAUUUAGAAAAACCAUAUUUUUAUAUUUUUGAGAAAUGAUGGAAAAUGUUAAAAAAAAAUUGGAUUUUAUAUUUUCAUUUUUUUUUAAUUUUUAAAAAAUGAUGGAAAAGUGAAAAAUCUUUUGGAUUUUUUUUUUAUUUUUUUCAUUUUUUGAAAACUAUGAAAGAAAAAUGCGAGUGUGCCCUACUUGCUUUAUUUUUCAUCCCUUUUUUCCAAACACCGGUCCGCCAAAUAACCUUUUUACCCUCAAAGAUGUAAUAUUUAAAACAUAUAAUGGUUAAAUAUCAUUUUGGGCCAUGGGUCCAUUUUGACACAAUUUGGACAGGCUAUGUAUAAAGGGACACGGUACCUCGGACCGAACCCUGCUAGGUUUAAAUGAUAUGAUGCACAUAAGCAUGACCUAAAGGCUAAUCUACAGUUGGGGUUCACUAGACAAGGCAAUUCGGGGCGGCACGUGGUCGAUGGCGGUUGCUCUAGCUGUCCGCCCAUUCCACGCUCCCACGCCACCCCCUAUAGACACAUGUGACUCACAAAAAGGCCGUGUACGCUCAAACGUACUCCGGAAGACUUGUUGCAGAAUGAGACCCAUGAUUAUGCAAAUGAUGAUAAUUUAUAAAGCAGUAAGAAAAAUUGUAAACAAAUAAGUAACUAGCAAAUAAUAAAAGACAUAAACAAAAUCAAAAUCAAAAUAAGCAAACAAAAGAUAAAAACCUCAACCUAAUAUCCUAAAAGCCAACAAGAUCAAAUACCAGCUUGAACCGACAACUCCUCAGCAGACUCACAUCAACAAAUACAUGCAAACUCACAUCAACAAAUACAUUUUGGGGAGUAAGCAAGGAGACUAAUUCAUGUAGGAAUUUAUCAAAUGAUUUCCAAGAUAAUAGACAAACUAACACAAAUAAACAUAUCUCAGAAUUUGAAUGAAGUAGGAACCAAAAUUAUAUCCAUAUAGGAAGAGGAAAAGAAAUGGACCUCAAUAAUUGAUGCCUCUGUAGUAGACGAGAACUCGAUUACAAUAAACUCCAACGAGUUGAAUCUGACUGAAAAAUGAAAAUAUGGACUGAACCUACACCUCGGACGGUGGCUUCUUAAGCGAACACCACGAUUUGAACACCAAAAUUCCGGAAUUCAAAUUGAAGAUGAAACAUAUAUUUUUGUAUUUUCUGAGAUUUAAAUUCAGCUUAAAAACUAAACAAGGGCCUAAAAAUGAAAGAAGAACCUGAGUUCUUUAUUUUCUUUUGCGACCAUCGGUUGCUGGUGGUUGACGUCCGUGAUUGCUUCAAGUGGCUGAAGAACAUGGUAGAGUCGGGGAUGUUGAUGGGCGUGUUGAGAGUGGUCUUCGUUUGAGUGAGGUGAAGAAGCAGGUCGCGGUUGUUUGUGUUAGGGUGUGUUCAGAGGAAGUUCAAGUGGUCUCUUGGCUGUCGUUUUUUGGCGCGCUGCUGUGGGCGGAGCGGCGGCAGAACUGGAGUAAGGGAGGAGGCGAUAGAGGCAAGUUUCUUUGGCGGAGAUUAGGGACAGCAGCGGCUAGUUAGUUCAAGGUGAAGGGAGCGUAGGGUUUUUUUAUUGUCCCUUGUCUUGUUCAAGAAGAAGUAGCUGCAGCCAUGGGUGUUCUCUCUAACCUUAGCUUUCUAAGGUUUUUCUUAGGUUACGAAGAAGGAACAAGAAAAAGUUUUGUUAGGCUCAAAUCUUAUGGACUGGA
RNAcentral lists this long non-coding RNA (8144 nucleotides) under Nicotiana benthamiana. Its description in RNAcentral is "long non-coding RNA (NBEN_LNC013147)". Lineage: Eukaryota; Viridiplantae; Streptophyta; Magnoliopsida; Solanales; Solanaceae. The record is from RNAcentral.